AGUGAACGCUGGCGGUAGGCCUAACACAUGCAAGUCGAACGGCAGCACAGUAAGAGCUUGCUCUUACGGGUGGCGAGUGGCGGACGGGUGAGGAAUACAUCGGAGUCUACUUUUUCGUGGGGGAUAACGUAGGGAAACUUACGCUAAUACCGCAUACGACCUACGGGUGAAAGCAGGGGAUCUUCGGACCUCGCGCGAUUGAAUGAGCCGAUGUCGGAUUAGCUAGUUGGCGGGGUAAAGGCCCACCAAGGCGACGAUCCGUAGCUGGUCUGAGAGGAUGAUCAGCCACACUGGAACUGAGACACGGUCCAGACUCCUACGGGAGGCAGCAGUGGGGAAUAUUGGACAAUGGGCGCAUGCCUGAUCCAGCCAUACCGCGUGGGUGAAGAAGGCCUUCGGGUUGUAAAGCCCUUUUGUUGGGAAAGAAAAGCAGCAGGUUAAUACCCCGCUGUUCUGACGGUACCCAAAGAAUAAGCACCGGCUAACUUCGUG
This 492-nucleotide ribosomal RNA is filed under the name uncultured bacterium. RNAcentral describes it as "partial 16S ribosomal RNA". It matches the Rfam family "Bacterial small subunit ribosomal RNA", at positions 29 to 507 of the family's 1533-position model. The record is from RNAcentral.